This 441-nucleotide unclassified non-coding RNA is filed under the name Camponotus floridanus (Florida carpenter ant). RNAcentral's name for it is "uncharacterized LOC112639068, transcript variant X1". Lineage: Eukaryota; Metazoa; Arthropoda; Insecta; Hymenoptera; Formicidae. The record is from RNAcentral.
ACAUUCCUGAUCUAUGGUAUGUCUAUUAUGCCUAUGUAUAUACUACACGAUGUGGUAAAAGAUAACGAUUUCGUUGUAUUAAUGAGAGCUUGCUAUUUCCAGUUUGACUGCGUCGAAAGAAUAAGUAAGAUUAAGUGUAUUAAUUAUUAAAUACACAUUUAAGUGUUGAUACGCGUUAAGUGCACAAGUAUUAAUACGCGAUUAAGAACACGUUUAAGUGUUACGCAAUUGAAUAUAAGAACACGAUUAAAAUUCACUUUCAACAGAACUUUGUUGAGUGAAAUUGUUGGCUAUGUUGAUAACAUCGAAUCUCCACGUUGCGUGGGCUCGCAACAACAAUAUAAGUUCUUCAAAUUUUAUUUAAAUAACGGAAAAGGAAAAAGGGUUCAAAUUGUUGCCUGGAAUGAUGACAUUGAUUUUGUGGAACAUCAUAUAAAAGUA